RNAcentral lists this ribosomal RNA (444 nucleotides) under Parvimonas sp. oral taxon C15. RNAcentral's name for it is "bacterial SSU rRNA". It matches the Rfam family "Bacterial small subunit ribosomal RNA", at positions 28 to 453 of the family's 1533-position model. The record is from RNAcentral. Lineage: Bacteria; Bacillati; Bacillota; Tissierellia; Tissierellales; Peptoniphilaceae.
GACGAACGCUGGCGGCGUGCUUAACACAUGCAAGUCGAACGAGAGUUAGAUCGAAUGAGUUUUCGGACAAGUGAGAUUUAACGAAAGUGGCGAACGGGUGAGUAACACGUGAGCAACCUGCCUUACACAGGGGGAUAGCCAUUGGAAACGGUGAUUAAUACCCCAUAAGACCACAAUACCGCAUGGUAAAAGGGUAAAAGGGAUACCGGUGUAAGAUGGGCUCGCGUCUGAUUAGCUAGUUGGUGGGGUAAAGGCCUACCAAGGCGACGAUCAGUAGCCGGUCUGAGAGGAUGAACGGCCACAUUGGAACUGAGACACGGUCCAAACUCCUACGGGAGGCAGCAGUGGGGAAUAUUGCACAAUGGGGGAAACCCUGAUGCAGCGACGCCGCGUGAGCGAAGAAGGCUUUCGAGUCGUAAAGCUCUGUCCUAUGAGAAGAUAAUG